AGGACGAACGCUGGCGGCGUGCUUAACACAUGCAAGUCGAGCGGAAAGGCCCUUCGGGGUACUCGAGCGGCGAACGGGUGAGUAACACGUGGGUAACCUGCCCUCCACUCUGGGAUAACUCCGGGAAACCGGGGCUAAUACCGGAUAUGACCAUCUUAGGCAUCUUUGGUGGUGGAAAGUUUUUCGGUGGGGGAUGGACCCGCGGCCUAUCAGCUUGUUGGUGGGGUGAUGGCCUACCAAGGCGAUGACGGGUAGCCGGCCUGAGAGGGCGACCGGCCACACUGGGACUGAGACACGGCCCAGACUCCUACGGGAGGCAGCAGUGGGGAAUAUGCGCAAUGGGCGGAAGCCUGACGCAGCGACGCCGCGUGAGGGAUGACGGUCUUCGGAUUGUAAACCUCUUUCAGCAGGGACGAAGCGCAAGUGACGGUACCUGCAGAAGAGCACCGGCAACUACGUGCCAGCAGCCGC
RNAcentral lists this ribosomal RNA (471 nucleotides) under uncultured bacterium. RNAcentral describes it as "SSU rRNA". It matches the Rfam family "Bacterial small subunit ribosomal RNA", at positions 26 to 518 of the family's 1533-position model. The record is from RNAcentral.